RNAcentral lists this unclassified non-coding RNA (249 nucleotides) under Glomus sp. RNAcentral's name for it is "partial contains 5.8S ribosomal RNA and internal transcribed spacer 2". The record is from RNAcentral. Lineage: Eukaryota; Fungi; Glomeromycota; Glomeromycetes; Glomerales; Glomeraceae.
GUGAAUCAUCGAAUUUUUGAACGCAAACUGCACUCUCCUCGUAUAGUAUGCCUGUUUGAGGGUCAACCUAUAAAAAAUCGACAUCGUUGCUUUUUCCCGGUGACUGGCGUCUUAAGUUGGGUCAUCUUAAAUCUUUUGGGCUUAUUCGACUUCAAAUUUUCUUUUUGAUUCCAUGAACGUAUGUCUAAAAUUUAUUUCUUUUCACUUUUAAGUUAUCGAUUUUUAUUAGACGUUACCAGCAUUUCUGAU